Molecule: ribosomal RNA, 36 nt
Filed under: Lawsonia inermis (henna)
Lineage: Eukaryota; Viridiplantae; Streptophyta; Magnoliopsida; Myrtales; Lythraceae
Description: partial 18S ribosomal RNA
Source: RNAcentral
CAAUGUUCCGUAGGUGAACCUGCGGAAGGAUCAUUG